This 300-nucleotide signal recognition particle RNA is filed under the name Vombatus ursinus (common wombat). RNAcentral's name for it is "Metazoan signal recognition particle RNA (ENSVURG00010014450.1)". It matches the Rfam family "Metazoan signal recognition particle RNA". From Rfam's summary of the family: The signal recognition particle (SRP) is a universally conserved ribonucleoprotein. It is involved in the co-translational targeting of proteins to membranes. Lineage: Eukaryota; Metazoa; Chordata; Mammalia; Diprotodontia; Vombatidae. The record is from Rfam by way of RNAcentral.
UCUGGGUGUGUUAGUGCAUACCUACAAUACCUACUUUUGGAGAGGCAAAGGCAACUUGGCUUCCUUGAACUCAGGAGUUCUGAGCUGCAGUAGGGCUAAGCCAAUUAGGUGUCCUUACUAACUCCAGCAUCAAUAUGGUGAGUCCCUGGAUGGGAGCCAAUCAGGCUGCCUGAAGAAGAAUAAACAGGCCCAGGUCAGAAAUGGAGUAGGUCAAAGCUCUCUAGCCAGUCAGUAGUGGUAAUGGGUCUUGAGUGGCAGGAGCACUUCCAGCCAGGGUAAGAUAGAGAGACCCCCGUCUUC